Long non-coding RNA from Lemur catta (Ring-tailed lemur), 420 nucleotides. RefSeq lists it as uncharacterized. NCBI's taxonomy places the organism in Eukaryota, Metazoa, Chordata, Mammalia, Primates, Lemuridae. The transcript is spliced from 3 exons. The record is from RefSeq and is a predicted model, not a curated record.
CUUCGGGACGCUGGAAAGCAGUGCUUUCGGAUGUCAGAGUGUUCCCAUUUAGCUGGCUGUGGGAAAGGAAGUCACCUGGAGUAAUAUCACUUGCAGAUCUGAGAAACAUAACGCAGAAGUUUGUUUCCUGACUGGUGUUGUGAAAGCUAUUGGGUACGAGCUAUUAGAAGGAAUUCCUUAGUAAAAAAGGUCACAUGGUGUGCUUCCCCAGACCUCUGCUGGACUCUCGGCCAACAGCUGACACCAACUGCCAUCACAGGAGUGAGGUGUGAUGAACAUUCAGCCCAAAUGAGCCUGCAGAUUGAAACCCGAUCCACUAUUUUGCUGCAACUGCAUGACAUCCCCAAAUGAGAACCAUCCAGCUGAGCCCAUUCAACCUACAGAACUGUGGGAGAUAAUAAUAAAAUAUGUUUUAAGUCA